Molecule: long non-coding RNA, 554 nt
Organism: Gasterosteus aculeatus aculeatus (three-spined stickleback)
Lineage: Eukaryota; Metazoa; Chordata; Actinopteri; Perciformes; Gasterosteidae
Source: Ensembl
UUAUAUUUACUAAAUCAAAUUGAAUAAAAUAAGAUUACAGCAAAACCUUAUGUUUCUACCAAAUGUCCAUGUGCUCUGCUAAUUGUUCCAGGUAUACCCGGUACAACACAGCUAACUCCCAUCACUCAAGGACAACCAGUGGGAGCAGACCCGGAGAAUGAUCUACUAAAGCAUGUGUCCAUCUCCGUACCAGUUGUUGCCAUUCUGACCAUCAUUGUUGUUGUUGGAAUUGUCCUUGGCAUAAAACACAAAAGGUCAGCAUCCUUUAUCAGGGAGGAUUCAAGAUAUUAUGCUAAUUUCAGCCGAGCAAACCAACUGCAAAGGGAAGCGUCUUGCCAGAAACCAGAGAACAGUAAAGUUUCUGAACAGAAAGACAUUGAGGAACCGGUUUACGCCAACAUUGAGAUCAGAUGGAUCAAAGUGCGGAUCACUUAGACAACAUAUAUGCCAAUGUGGAUCAUUUAAAACUGUAGGAAAGCUGCGUCUUACAAAUCUAUUCCUAAUCUUUUCGGUUUUAUGGCAUAGAGACUACUUAACAUUCCAAAAGAUAAGAU